RNAcentral lists this ribosomal RNA (460 nucleotides) under uncultured bacterium. RNAcentral's name for it is "partial 16S ribosomal RNA". It matches the Rfam family "Bacterial small subunit ribosomal RNA", at positions 338 to 795 of the family's 1533-position model. The record is from RNAcentral.
CCUACGGGUGGCAGCAGUGAGGAAUAUUGGUCAAUGGGCUUACGCCUGAACCAGCCAAGUCGCGUGAGGGAAGACUGCCCUAUGGGUUGUAAACCUCUUUUGUCAGGGAGCAACGCCGGCUACGUGUGGCCGGCCUGAGAGUACCGGAAGAAAAAGCAUCGGCUAACUCCGGGCCAGCAUCCGCGGUAAUACGGAGGAUGCGAGCGUUAUCCGGAUUGAUUGGGUUUAAAGGGUGCGUAGGCGGACUGCAAAGUCAGCGGUAAAAUCGCGGGGCUCAACCCCGCUCCGCCGUUGAAACUGGCGGUCUUGAGUGGUCGAGAGGUAUGCGGAAUGCGUGGUGUAGCGGUGAAAUGCAUAGAUAUUACGCAGAACUCCGAUUGCGAAGGCAGCAUACCGGCGCCCAACUGACGCUGAAGCACGAAAGCGUGGGUAUCGAACAGGAUUAGAUACCCGGGUAGUC